UGUAUGUGUGUGGUAACGAGAGGUACACCGACACUGUCUGUGGACAAAGCUGUGCAAGCCUUCGAGGAGCUUUGUCAGACCUCGACUGAAAAUCCGGCACUGCCAACAUCUUCCGGCAUGGUUGGCCAAAGCCCUUUGGGGAGCGAGCCAGCUGUUCCCGGAAGUCCCCAACAAGCCCAAGAGAAUUCUGCAGACGUUGAGCAAGAAUUGCGCCAGUGGUGCUCUACGCCUACAGAGGACAAGACGCCAAGCCCCUUGUCGUUGGAGCG
This is a long non-coding RNA of Ixodes scapularis (black-legged tick), 269 nucleotides long. RefSeq lists it as uncharacterized. The transcript is spliced from 3 exons. The record is from RefSeq and is a predicted model, not a curated record. NCBI's taxonomy places the organism in Eukaryota, Metazoa, Arthropoda, Arachnida, Ixodida, Ixodidae.